UAACCCAAAACCAACCGGACCUAAACUUGGGUCAGCUCAAAUGAAUGGUCCGCACCUUCUUUCUUCAAUUGGUAUCGGUUCGAUUAAAAGAAUAUCCUAAUCCGUUGACCCGUAAACCCGAUACGGGUAUUGGAGUGGGAAUACUCUUAUCGGAUCCAACCCAUUUUCUCUCACCACCCACAUCGGGUUCUCGGACUCACUCUCUCUCGCUUCAGGGUCACCCACAAUCCAGCCCCGAUUCGCCGGACCACCGAUCGGAUUCCCUGAGAUUUUUGGAGAUACAAGGUCAAUUCAACAAUUGCGGUAAGACCCAUUUCGAAUUUUUGUCAAUUCAACAAUUGCAGUUUUUAAUCGGAUUUUUUUCAAUGUUUAUUGGUAUUUAUUGGUGGAUUUUGGUGUGACCCAGAUCUUAUAUGCAUAUGAUUGUUCUGUUGCUUAGGGAUUUGAAG
RNAcentral lists this long non-coding RNA (449 nucleotides) under Malus domestica (apple). Its description in RNAcentral is "long non-coding RNA (MDOM_LNC003396)". The record is from RNAcentral. Lineage: Eukaryota; Viridiplantae; Streptophyta; Magnoliopsida; Rosales; Rosaceae.